AUUGAACGCUGGCGGAAUGCUUAACACAUGCAAGUCGAACGGCAGCACGGGGGCAGCCCUGGUGGCGAGUGGCGAAGGGGCGAGUAGUACAUGGGAACGUCCCCGGUCGUGGUGGCUAACGUAACAAAAGAUACGCUCAUACGGCAUACCAUCUGAGGAUGUACGCGGGGGACCUUCGGAUCUUGGGCGAUUGGGCGGGCCGAUGUCCGAUUAGCUAGUUGGUGGGGUAAAGGCCUACCAAGCCGACGAUCUGUAGCUGGUCUGAGAGGAUGACCAGCCACACUGGAACUGAGACACGGCCCAGACUCCUACGGGAGGCAGCAGUGGGGAAUAUUGGACAAAGGGCGCAAGCCUGAUCCAGCCAUACCGCGUGGAGGACGAAGGCCUUCGGGUUGUAAAGUGCUUUUGUUCGGAAAGAAAAGCAUCUGGUUAAUACCUCGGGGUUCUGACGGUACCGAAAGAAUAAGCACCGGCUAACUACGUG
This 484-nucleotide ribosomal RNA is filed under the name uncultured bacterium. Its description in RNAcentral is "partial 16S ribosomal RNA". It matches the Rfam family "Bacterial small subunit ribosomal RNA", at positions 30 to 507 of the family's 1533-position model. The record is from RNAcentral.